UCACUCACACAUAGUACGAAAUAUUUUGGGGAGUUGAAAAUCAGCAUAGAUCCUGAAAUUUUUGAAUAGGGCAAUCUUUCGAACUGCUUUUGAUCCAUAGGCAGCCAAGAGAAAACCAGGCGAACUGAAAGAUCUUAUUAGCAAGAGGAAAAGAAAGCAAAUGCGAUUCUCAUAGUAGCGGCAGGCAAAAUGGGAGCUGCCUAAAUCGUGAAAACGAGGUUGUGGGAGAGCAAUACAAGCGCCGUACAGCUAGGUGAAGAAGCGGCCCAAAUACUGCACCCUAGAUGGCGAAAAUCCAGUAGCCGAAAGCAUCACUAACUUAGGCUCUGAUCGCGUGCCUGUUGAAGAAUGAGCCGUCGACUCCGGGCAAUGGCUUGAU
Molecule: ribosomal RNA, 379 nt
Organism: Nicotiana attenuata
Lineage: Eukaryota; Viridiplantae; Streptophyta; Magnoliopsida; Solanales; Solanaceae
Rfam family: Bacterial large subunit ribosomal RNA
Source: Rfam